AUUGAACGCUGGCGGCAGGCCUAACACAUGCAAGUCGAACGAGUGGCGGACGGGUGAGUAAUGUCUGGGAAACUGCCUGAUGGAGGGGGAUAACUACUGGAAACGGUAGCUAAUACCGCAUACCAUCAGAUGUGCCCAGAUGGGAUUAGCUGGUUGGUGGGGUAACGGCUCCCCAAGGCGACGAUCCCUAGCUGGUCUGAGAGGAUGACCAGCCACACUGGAAAUGAGAAACGGUCCAGACUCCGACGGGAGGCAGGAGUGGGGAAUAUGGCACAAUGGGCGCAAGCCUGAUGGAGCGAUGCCGCGGGUAUGAAGAAGGCCUUCGGGUUGUAAAGCACGUUGAGCGGGGAGGCGGUACCCGCAGAAGAAGCACCGGCUAACUCCGUUCCAGCAGCCGCGGUAAUUC
RNAcentral lists this ribosomal RNA (406 nucleotides) under uncultured bacterium. Its description in RNAcentral is "partial 16S ribosomal RNA". It matches the Rfam family "Bacterial small subunit ribosomal RNA", at positions 29 to 526 of the family's 1533-position model. The record is from RNAcentral.